GACGAACGCUGGCGGCGCGCUUAACACAUGCAAGUCGAACGGAAAGGCCUGCUUUCCCUUGUGGAUUGCGGGUACUCGAGUGGCGAACGGGUGAGUAACACGUGAGUGAUCUGCCCCCAACUUGGGUAUAAGCCUGGGAAACUGGGUCUAAUUCCCGAUAGGACUGCAGGGUGGUGCCUGUGGUGGAAAACGAUUUUCUAGUGGUUGGGGAUGAGCUCGCGGCCUAUCAGCUUGUUGGUGGGGUAAUGGCCUACCAAGACGGCGACGGGUAGCCGGCCUGAGAGGGUGGACGGCCACAUUGGGACUGGGAUACGGCCCAGACUCCUACGGGAGGCAGCAGUGGGGAAUAUUACACAAUGGGCGGAAGCCUGAUGCAGCGACGCCGCGUGGGGGAUGACGGCCUUCGGGUUGUAAACUCCUUUCGACCGCGAGGAAGCCACCUGGUUGGAAGGGUGGUGACGGUAGUGGUAGAAGAAGCACCGGCUAACUACGUG
Molecule: ribosomal RNA, 494 nt
Filed under: uncultured bacterium
Lineage: Bacteria
Description: partial 16S ribosomal RNA
Rfam family: Bacterial small subunit ribosomal RNA
Source: RNAcentral